GACGAACGCUGGCGGCGUGCUUAACACAUGCAAGUCGAACGAUGAAGAAAAGACUCGAAGCUUCGGCAGAAAUUCAUUUCGGAUUAGUGGCAGACGGGUGAGUAACGCGUGAGCAACCUACCUCUUACAAAGGGAUAGCCUCGGGAAACCGGGAUUAAUACCAUAUAACAUUGUGACGAAGCAUUUCGCUGCAAUCAAAGCUACGGCGGUAAGAGAUGGGCUCGCGUCCCAUUAACCGGAUGGUGAGGUAACGGCUCACCAUAGUGACGAUGGGUAACCGGCCUGAGAGGGUGACCGGUCACACUGGAACUGAGACACGGUCCAGACUCCUACGGGAGGCAGCAGUGGGGAAUAUUGCACAAUGGAGGAAAGUCUGAUGCAGCGACGCCGCGUGAGUGAUGAAGGAAUUAGUUUCGUAAAACUCUGUUCUAUGGGAAGAAAAGGACUGUACCAUAGGAAAAAGCCCCGGCUAAAUACGUG
RNAcentral lists this ribosomal RNA (480 nucleotides) under uncultured bacterium. RNAcentral describes it as "partial 16S ribosomal RNA". It matches the Rfam family "Bacterial small subunit ribosomal RNA", at positions 28 to 507 of the family's 1533-position model. The record is from RNAcentral.